This 2925-nucleotide ribosomal RNA is filed under the name Escherichia coli. RNAcentral's name for it is "23S ribosomal RNA". It matches the Rfam family "Bacterial large subunit ribosomal RNA". Lineage: Bacteria; Pseudomonadati; Pseudomonadota; Gammaproteobacteria; Enterobacterales; Enterobacteriaceae. The record is from RNAcentral.
GGGUUGUGAGGUUAAGCGACUAAGCGUACACGGUGGAUGCCCUGGCAGUCAGAGGCGAUGAAGGACGUGCUAAUCUGCGAUAAGCGUCGGUGAGGUGAUAUGAACCGUUAUAACCGGCGAUUUCCGAAUGGGGAAACCCAGUGUGUUUCGACACACUAUCAUUAACUGAAUCCAUAGGUUAAUGAGGCGAACCGGGGGAACUGAAACAUCUAAGUACCCCGAGGAAAAGAAAUCAACCGAGAUUCCCCCAGUAGCGGCGAGCGAACGGGGAGGAGCCCAGAGCCUGAAUCAGUGUGUGUGUUAGUGGAAGCGUCUGGAAAGGCGUGCGAUACAGGGUGACAGCCCCGUACACAAAAAUGCACAUAUUGUGAGCUCGAUGAGUAGGGCGGGACACGUGGUAUCCUGUCUGAAUAUGGGGGGACCAUCCUCCAAGGCUAAAUACUCCUGACUGACCGAUAGUGAACCAGUACCGUGAGGGAAAGGCGAAAAGAACCCCGGCGAGGGGAGUGAAAAAGAACCUGAAACCGUGUACGUACAAGCAGUGGGAGCCUCUUAAUGGGGUGACUGCGUACCUUUUGUAUAAUGGGUCAGCGACUUAUAUUCUGUAGCAAGGUUAACCGAAUAGGGGAGCCGAAGGGAAACCGAGUCUUAACUGGGCGUUAAGUUGCAGGGUAUAGACCCGAAACCCGGUGAUCUAGCCAUGGGCAGGUUGAAGGUUGGGUAACACUAACUGGAGGACCGAACCGACUAAUGUUGAAAAAUUAGCGGAUGACUUGUGGCUGGGGGUGAAAGGCCAAUCAAACCGGGAGAUAGCUGGUUCUCCCCGAAAGCUAUUUAGGUAGCGCCUCGUGAAUUCAUCUCCGGGGGUAGAGCACUGUUUCGGCAAGGGGGUCAUCCCGACUUACCAACCCGAUGCAAACUGCGAAUACCGGAGAAUGUUAUCACGGGAGACACACGGCGGGUGCUAACGUCCGUCGUGAAGAGGGAAACAACCCAGACCGCCAGCUAAGGUCCCAAAGUCAUGGUUAAGUGGGAAACGAUGUGGGAAGGCCCAGACAGCCAGGAUGUUGGCUUAGAAGCAGCCAUCAUUUAAAGAAAGCGUAAUAGCUCACUGGUCGAGUCGGCCUGCGCGGAAGAUGUAACGGGGCUAAACCAUGCACCGAAGCUGCGGCAGCGACACUAUGUGUUGUUGGGUAGGGGAGCGUUCUGUAAGCCUGUGAAGGUGUGCUGUGAGGCAUGCUGGAGGUAUCAGAAGUGCGAAUGCUGACAUAAGUAACGAUAAAGCGGGUGAAAAGCCCGCUCGCCGGAAGACCAAGGGUUCCUGUCCAACGUUAAUCGGGGCAGGGUGAGUCGACCCCUAAGGCGAGGCCGAAAGGCGUAGUCGAUGGGAAACAGGUUAAUAUUCCUGUACUUGGUGUUACUGCGAAGGGGGGACGGAGAAGGCUAUGUUGGCCGGGCGACGGUUGUCCCGGUUUAAGCGUGUAGGCUGGUUUUCCAGGCAAAUCCGGAAAACCAAGGCUGAGGCGUGAUGACGAGGCACUACGGUGCUGAAGCGACAAAUGCCCUGCUUCCAGGAAAAGCCUCUAAGCAUCAGGUAACAUCAAAUCGUACCCCAAACCGACACAGGUGGUCAGGUAGAGAAUACCAAGGCGCUUGAGAGAACUCGGGUGAAGGAACUAGGCAAAAUGGUGCCGUAACUUCGGGAGAAGGCACGCUGAUAUGUAGGUGAAGCGACUUGCUCGUGGAGCUGAAAUCAGUCGAAGAUACCAGCUGGCUGCAACUGUUUAUUAAAAACACAGCACUGUGCAAACACGAAAGUGGACGUAUACGGUGUGACGCCUGCCCGGUGCCGGAAGGUUAAUUGAUGGGGUUAGCGGUAACGCGAAGCUCUUGAUCGAAGCCCCGGUAAACGGCGGCCGUAACUAUAACGGUCCUAAGGUAGCGAAAUUCCUUGUCGGGUAAGUUCCGACCUGCACGAAUGGCGUAAUGAUGGCCAGGCUGUCUCCACCCGAGACUCAGUGAAAUUGAACUCGCUGUGAAGAUGCAGUGUACCCGCGGCAAGACGGAAAGACCCCGUGAACCUUUACUAUAGCUUGACACUGAACAUUGAGCCUUGAUGUGUAGGAUAGGUGGGAGGCUUUGAAGUGUGGACGCCAGUCUGCAUGGAGCCGACCUUGAAAUACCACCCUUUAAUGUUUGAUGUUCUAACGUUGGCCCGUAAUCCGGGUUGCGGACAGUGUCUGGUGGGUAGUUUGACUGGGGCGGUCUCCUCCUAAAGAGUAACGGAGGAGCACGAAGGUUGGCUAAUCCUGGUCGGACAUCAGGAGGUUAGUGCAAUGGCAUAAGCCAGCUUGACUGCGAGCGUGACGGCGCGAGCAGGUGCGAAAGCAGGUCAUAGUGAUCCGGUGGUUCUGAAUGGAAGGGCCAUCGCUCAACGGAUAAAAGGUACUCCGGGGAUAACAGGCUGAUACCGCCCAAGAGUUCAUAUCGACGGCGGUGUUUGGCACCUCGAUGUCGGCUCAUCACAUCCUGGGGCUGAAGUAGGUCCCAAGGGUAUGGCUGUUCGCCAUUUAAAGUGGUACGCGAGCUGGGUUUAGAACGUCGUGAGACAGUUCGGUCCCUAUCUGCCGUGGGCGCUGGAGAACUGAGGGGGGCUGCUCCUAGUACGAGAGGACCGGAGUGGACGCAUCACUGGUGUUCGGGUUGUCAUGCCAAUGGCACUGCCCGGUAGCUAAAUGCGGAAGAGAUAAGUGCUGAAAGCAUCUAAGCACGAAACUUGCCCCGAGAUGAGUUCUCCCUGAGACUUAGAGUCUCCUGAAGGAACGUUGAAGACGACGACGUUGAUAGGCCGGGUGUGUAAGCGCAGCGAUGCGUUGAGCUAACCGGUACUAAUGAACCGUGAGGCUUAACCUUACAACGCCGAAG